Molecule: long non-coding RNA, 1152 nt
Organism: Pseudophryne corroboree (corroboree frog)
Lineage: Eukaryota; Metazoa; Chordata; Amphibia; Anura; Myobatrachidae
Exons: 4
Source: RefSeq, a predicted model, not a curated record
GAAGUGCUGCAGCAAUAACAGUCUUACACAGAAGGCAAAGGAGCUUGAAGCUGAAAUCUGUAAUAAAGCUGAAAAAACCCUGCAGUACAUGAGCCUGUUGCCAUGGUUCCCGGAGCCGGACAAGUGACGCGGCUUCCGGCGCGACAGGUGCAGCCGCGACCGGAAGUACACGCUGCGGGAAGGCGACCGUGGAGACCGGGGACACGCUGAGAACGACGGGGAGGGGGUUUUUAAAAAGCCUAUAGGGACCUCCGGCCCAGGCCCUUCACAUUCUGCAAAACAGGAUGCUGCUGUGCAGCAGAGGACAUUGUGAUGCCAAGUCAGCCUGCCCAAUGCCAGGAAUCAACCACUGAGGAUACGUUCGUCUUACAGUUAGCACCAAUACCACUGCAUGAGCAAAGUCCCGCUAAGUUUGCUACACCUCCGACUCCACACACACCUGACCCAGACACAAGCACAACCCCCCAAACACCACAGGCUCAAGAACGAGUUUUUUGGGCCAGCUGGGCCAGCCAGCAGACCAAUACUUUGGACUACUUACGUCAACAAACACAGGCCAUUGCAAGUGUAGCCCAUCACAUACCAUGCCUAUGCAGAACCAGCAGCAGGCAAGCGAUGGAGCUAACAAGAGUGGCCAACACACUGGAACUCAUGAGGGCAGACAACAAUAGACUGAUCAACAUAUAACAACGACUGAUGGAUGAUAAUCAUAGGCUCCAUCUAGGCUACUUGCAGCUUUUUUCGGCCACACAAACAACCCAAGACAACAUGGUCCGAAUGAUGGAGAGUCAAACGUCGGCCACAAGAGACUUAAACUUGACUCUUACAAAUUUAACACAGCAUUUGACACAUCAAGGGGCCCACACAAGCUCAAGCUCUACACCAACAACCCUCUUAGUGACUCCUGUCACGUCACCACCCAGACGUUCUGCCCGUACUCGGCCACACUCCAGUGGAAAGGGGACAUCCACUGAAAAGGGUCGCAAGGAGAAAUAGUUUUGGUUUGUUUAUAUUGUUUUGGUUUUUGAAUUUAGUUUUAAUUUUGCACAUUAUCAGUUAUAAAUUUUGGAGACAAAAGCACAAGUAAUGCAAUCAUUAAAAAAAGGUGAUUUUGUGUAUUUGCAAGGUGAACAUAAUAUUAUCAGUUUACUA